AUUGAACGCUGGCGGCAGGCCUAACACAUGCAAGUCGAGCGGAUGAAGGGAGCUUGCUCCUGUAUUCAGCGGCGGACGGGUGAGUAAUGCCUAGGAAUCUGCCUUGUAGUGGGGGAUAACGUCCGGAAACGGGCGCUAAUACCGCAUACGUCCUGAGGUAGAAAGUGGGGGAUCUUCGGACCUCACGCUACCAGAUGAGCCUAGGUCGGAUUAGCUAGUUGGUGGGGUAAAGGCCUACCAAGGCGACGAUCCGUAACUGAUCUGAGAGGAUGAUCAGUCACACUGGAACUGAGACACGGUCCAGACUCCUACGGGAGGCAGCAGUGGGGAAUAUUGGACAAUGGGCGAAAGCCUGAUCCAGCCAUGCCGCGUGUGUGAAGAAGGUCUUCGGAUUGUAAAGCACUUUAAGUUGGGAGGAAGGGCAGUAAGUUAAUACCUUGCUGUUUUGACGUUACCAACAGAAUAAGCACCGGCUAACUUCGUG
RNAcentral lists this ribosomal RNA (484 nucleotides) under uncultured bacterium. RNAcentral's name for it is "partial 16S ribosomal RNA". It matches the Rfam family "Bacterial small subunit ribosomal RNA", at positions 30 to 507 of the family's 1533-position model. The record is from RNAcentral.